RNAcentral lists this ribosomal RNA (469 nucleotides) under uncultured bacterium. RNAcentral's name for it is "partial 16S ribosomal RNA". It matches the Rfam family "Bacterial small subunit ribosomal RNA", at positions 27 to 507 of the family's 1533-position model. The record is from RNAcentral.
GGACGAACGCUGGCGGCGUGCUUAACACAUGCAAGUCGAACGGUGAAGCUCCAGCUUGCUGGAGUGGAUCAGUGGCGAACGGGUGAGUAACACGUGAGCAACCUGCCCCAGACUCUGGAAUAAGCGCUGGAAACGGCGUCUAAUACUGGAUACGAGAUCAAGCCGCAUGGUUAUGGUCUGGAAAGUUUUUCGGUUUGGGAUGGGCUCGCGGCCUAUCAGCUUGUUGGUGAGGUAAUGGCUCACCAAGGCGACGACGGGUAGCCGGCCUGAGAGGGCGACCGGCCACACUGGGACUGAGACACGGCCCAGACUCCUACGGGAGGCAGCAGUGGGGAAUAUUGCACAAUGGGCGAAAGCCUGAUGCAGCGACGCCGCGUGAGGGAUGACGGCCUUCGGGUUGUAAACCUCUUUCAGCAGGGAAGAAGCGAAAGUGACGGUACCUGCAGAAGAAGCACCGGCUAACUACGUG